AACGAACGCUGGCGGCAGGUCUUAGGCAUGCAAGUCGAACGGGUGAAGCAGAGCUUGCUCUGUGGAUCUAGUGGCGCACGAGUGAGUAACGCGUGGGAAACUGCCCACCACUGGGGGAAUAACGUUUGGAAACGAACGCUAAUACCGCAUAACAUAGUUUUGCCGCAUGACAGAACUAUCAAAGAUUUUAUCGGUGAAAGAUGGACUCGCGUCCGAUUAGGUAGUUGGUGAGGUAACGGCCCACCAAGCCGACGAUCGGUAGCCGGACUGAGAGGUUGAACGGCCACAUUGGGACUGAGACACGGCCCAGACUCCUACGGGAGCAGCAGUGGGGGAUAUUGCGCAAUGGGGGAAACCCUGACGCAGCAACGCCGCGUGAAGGAAGAAGGUCUUCGGAUCGUAAACCUUUUGUACUUCAGGGACGAAUUUUGACGGUACCUGAGGAGGAAGCCAACGGCUAACUACGUGCCAGCA
RNAcentral lists this ribosomal RNA (474 nucleotides) under uncultured bacterium. RNAcentral describes it as "bacterial SSU rRNA". It matches the Rfam family "Bacterial small subunit ribosomal RNA", at positions 29 to 513 of the family's 1533-position model. The record is from RNAcentral.